GGGUAUAGUUCAGUGAUAGAGCACAUGCUUAGCAUGCGUGAGGUCCUGGGUUCAAUCCCCAGUAAAUCCA
This 70-nucleotide transfer RNA is filed under the name Camelus bactrianus (Bactrian camel). It matches the Rfam family "tRNA". Rfam says of the family: Transfer RNA (tRNA) molecules are approximately 80 nucleotides in length. Their secondary structure includes four short double-helical elements and three loops (D, anti-codon, and T loops). The record is from Rfam by way of RNAcentral. Lineage: Eukaryota; Metazoa; Chordata; Mammalia; Artiodactyla; Camelidae. RNAcentral also lists the same sequence under 1 other name.